AAACUUUCAACAACGGAUCUCUUGGUUCUCGCAUCGAUGAAGAACGCAGCGAAUUGCGAUAUGUAUUGUGAAUUGCAGAUUUUCGUGAAUCAUCAAAUCUUUGAACGCACAUUGCGCCCUCUGGUAUUCCAGGGGGGCAUGCCUGUUUGAGCGUCAUUU
This is a ribosomal RNA of Kluyveromyces lactis, 159 nucleotides long. NCBI's taxonomy places the organism in Eukaryota, Fungi, Ascomycota, Saccharomycetes, Saccharomycetales, Saccharomycetaceae. The record is from RefSeq and is a predicted model, not a curated record.